UGUGCCGCGUUCAGGGCGGAGAUGGCAGCAGUGACUGCACGCUGCGGGGCUGUGCUGGGGCCCCAGCCGGGCUCCCCAGGCCGGCUGUGCUGAGGACAAAGGGCACAGAAGGGUCUGUGGCAGCCCUGGGGAAUGUUCCGUGUUAUUGCUCUUUAGGGUUUUUACUGGGACUCGCAGAGCAGCCCUGGUAGUCUGGAGUAUGUGAGAUGCUAUGGGUGUUGCACAUCCUGUUGUAUUCAUUGUCUCCACACAUCUUGCAAUCUACAGAUCACUGUAUUUUGCUUUAAAUAAGUUACAAUCUCAAAAUGUCACUUUUAAGAGAGUGAUCAGUAUGUAUAUUUAUUACUGGGACCUUACAUAAAGCUCAGUCCUCAGCCCAGUGCUAUAUUUAAUUAACAACCUCAUGAAAGCGUUUCUCUGACGUGUAUUUUGUUAGUGUUGCCUUCCAGGUGAUUCCUGGCACAUUCUGAGGUAGCCAGCACAGCAGCCACAGUUACAGCACGGGAUGCAGAACCUUAUGGGAGGCCCUGCAUUUCUGUUUGCAACCUAUAUGUGUGCUUGCUUCCUGCAGGCAUGAAGGCUUCCCUUUCCUUCAAGUUCCCUUUUCCUAACUAUUCAUCAUUUUGUUGAUCUUGUCAUAGCUCUGGGAUCUGGAAGUGAUAUUUUGCUUUAGUUACAGGUUAAAACUUACAGGGCCUGUCCUGCUGGCCCUUCAGAACCUGCAGGAUUUCCAAUUAAACUGGUGGCCUGAAAAUUGCGGUGGAAUAAAAUGCAUGGGAGCAAGCUGGGGAAUGGCCACUGGGGUCAGUGGCUCCAGCCAUCCCAGGAAGUCCUUUCAGUCCUGUGUUUCUAUAUCCAUAACAAUCUUCUGUGCAAACUCUGAGCUUACACUGAAACAUGAACGGGGCAAAAUGGGUUUAACACAGACCCCAAUUGUUUUGAGGGGGUGGGGGCGAAGCAGGCUGGGAGAUUACUUUCCUGUCCUGAGUACAAGGUACCACAUUUGUGCUCCAGGAAGGGAGUGUGUGUCAGAUUUCCAUGGUAAAGGAUGAGAAGGCAGUGUGCAGCCCUUCUUGGGACUGUGUCUGUCUCAUCCUUAGCUGUCAGAUAUAAAAUCCUGUAAUCACUCACAACUUUAUCAGGCUCUCAUUUGAAAGCAGAUGGGAUUUUUGUUCUAUGUCCUUCAUAGUUUGGAAGGGUGUUUUGGGGCCUGAUUGCUGUCAUAACUAGAAAUCUCCAGAUCUCUUGUUGUAUGUCCCACUCCUCUAAGGAUUCCCCCAGGGCUCUGUGUGACAUUCAGAUGAUGUGAGGAAUGCACAGCCCACCCCAAAUAACAGAAAACACAUAGCAGAGCAGCACGGGGGCCCCAUGCUGCUCCCACCCGCCCUGGGUUGAGGGGGAGGUACGUAAUGAGAAGCAUUUGCUGCAGCAGCUAUCUAUAGCCCGCUGUGUUUGGGACGGCCCUGCCUGCCUGACCUCAGAGCUGACGUUAGAGAACCCCAAACGAGAGCUGGGAGUGCUCCAGAGAGCCACAGCCAGGCUACCCUGCCUGGGAGGGACACACAGCACGGCUGAUGGAGAGGGAGAAUGGAUGCUGUUGUCCUCAGAGAUGGGUACUCUGGAUCCACAGGAUGAAGACACUUCAAGUCCAGAGAACUUGGACCAGAGGAUCUGGGGGAAGUAGCAGUGUGCUGAUAUUUAUAGGAUGAAAAUGACAUGUCUUGUGAAAUUUUUUGAUACUACAGUAUUAACCCUGGACAGAAUAGUGGAAGGGUUGGCCAUGUAUUGUCAGAGGGAAUGAUAACUGCCAUUAAUUCUAUAGCCAAUGUACAUUUCCAAGAAUGUUUGGAAUACCACCAGUGGAGGAGGACACUCAUAAGCUCCACAUCGAGGGAUGCCAAUGGCCACCUGCCUUCCUUUUGCUCAGUGGGAGCACUCUUCAUCUUCUCACCAACCACAGAGCUGGGCUACCUGCUGCUUUCCCUAUUUUAAGGACACAUCACCAAAUUUAUCUUUUGUGUCUACAUUCAGUGAUUCUCUGCAUUUUGUGAAUAAACAUGGAUUGUACUCA
Long non-coding RNA from Prinia subflava (tawny-flanked prinia), 2071 nucleotides. RefSeq lists it as uncharacterized. The record is from RefSeq and is a predicted model, not a curated record. The transcript is spliced from 3 exons. NCBI's taxonomy places the organism in Eukaryota, Metazoa, Chordata, Aves, Passeriformes, Cisticolidae.